Molecule: ribosomal RNA, 746 nt
Filed under: uncultured bacterium
Lineage: Bacteria
Description: bacterial SSU rRNA
Rfam family: Bacterial small subunit ribosomal RNA
Source: RNAcentral
ACAAGCGAGCGGCGGACGGGUGAGUAACACGUGGGUAACCUGCCCAAGAGACUGGGAUAACACCUGGAAACAGAUGCUAAUACCGGAUAACAACACUAGACGCAUGUCUAGAGUUUGAAAGAUGGUUCUGCUAUCACUCUUGGAUGGACCUGCGGUGCAUUAGCUAGUUGGUAAGGUAACGGCUUACCAAGGCAAUGAUGCAUAGCCGAGUUGAGAGACUGAUCGGCCACAUUGGGACUGAGACACGGCCCAAACUCCUACGGGAGGCAGCAGUAGGGAAUCUUCCACAAUGGACGAAAGUCUGAUGGAGCAACGCCGCGUGAGUGAAGAAGGGUUUCGGCUCGUAAAGCUCUGUUGGUAGUGAAGAAAGAUAGAGGUAGUAACUGGCCUUUAUUUGACGGUAAUUACUUAGAAAGUCACGGCUAACUACGUGCCAGCAGCCGCGGUAAUACGUAGGUGGCAAGCGUUGUCCGGAUUUAUUGGGCGUAAAGCGAGUGCAGGCGGUUCAAUAAGUCUGAUGUGAAAGCCUUCGGCUCAACCGGAGAAUUGCAUCAGAAACUGUUGAACUUGAGUGCAGAAGAGGAGAGUGGAACUCCAUGUGUAGCGGUGGAAUGCGUAGAUAUAUGGAAGAACACCAGUGGCGAAGGCGGCUCUCUGGUCUGCAACUGACGCUGAGGCUCGAAAGCAUGGGUAGCGAACAGGAUUAGAUACCCUGGUAGUCCAUGCCGUAAACGAUGAGUGCUAAG